RNAcentral lists this ribosomal RNA (421 nucleotides) under uncultured archaeon. Its description in RNAcentral is "partial 16S ribosomal RNA". It matches the Rfam family "Archaeal small subunit ribosomal RNA", at positions 323 to 746 of the family's 1478-position model. The record is from RNAcentral.
CUACGGGGUGCAGCAGACGCGAAUCCUCUACAAUGCACGCAAGUGUGAUAGGGGGAUCCCUCGUGUUGGCGUUAUGCGUCAACUUUUUUAGAGUGUAAGUUGCUCUGAGAAUAAGGGGUGGGCAAGACCGGUGCCAGCCGCCGCGGUAAUCCCGGCGCCCCAAGUGGUAGUCACGUUUAUUGGGCCUAAAACAUCCGUAGCCGGCCAGUUAAGUUUCCAGUUAAAUCUAGCAGCUCAACUGUUAGCUCGCUGGAAAUACUGAUUGGCUUGAGACCGGGAGGAGCUAGAGGAAUGUCAUGGGGAGUGGUAAAAUGCUGUAAUCCAUGAUGGACCAUCUGUGGCGAAGGCGUCUAGCUAGAACGGGUCUGACGGUCAGGGAUGAAAGCUAGGGGAGCAAAGAGGAUUAGAUACCCGUGUAGUC